Regulatory RNA element from Rhodobacter sp., 66 nucleotides. It matches the Rfam family "L2-Alphaproteobacteria ribosomal protein leader". NCBI's taxonomy places the organism in Bacteria, Pseudomonadati, Pseudomonadota, Alphaproteobacteria, Rhodobacterales. The record is from Rfam.
GGGGAUCUUCGGAGCCCUGCAAACCGGAUCCCAACGAUGGAUCCUUCAACUGACGGAAGACAGAAA